CCAGGAGGCAGCUUGUGAAUACCUUAGUUGCUGACAUGGUGGAGGUGCAUGGACGGAUCCCUUAUCAGGCUGUACGAUUUGUAUGUACAGCCUGAGUAUGCUCAAGGCAUUGUGGCCUUAUUCCCAUAUCUCGAAGACCCAAUGUCAAAGCAUGGAUAUAGGAGAACUUUUAUGAUCCAGCAUCAGGAUCUGGGUACAUCGCAUGGCGUCUUAAAACUGUUCAACGAAGUCAAUCUGAUCGGUCAAGGUCUCUGGUGGCCGUGGAAGAAUACAGUGGUGGUCCAAAGGCUGCAAGGGACUGCACGGCAUCUACCUCACAACAAUCAAUCAAACAAGACUGUGAAAUCUAUGAUUAAGCAUUCAUCUGAUAAAGCCCUAGUCUUGGACAAAAUGGAGGCUACUUUUGAACACAGACAGAAACUUGUUCAUGAUCCCGACAAGUCUAUCUAUUCUGGACAUCUUCCCACGAUUUAUUGACAUACCCGGCCUGGUGAGUUUACAAAUGCGUAGAAUAAUAUCUAAUGAGGGUUCAUGUAAAGACAUGCCCUGCCAUGCCAAAUUUGCUGUCAUGUUAAUGUUUGUGCCUACAUGUUUGAUUACAUUAGUGUAACUUUGGACAUUACAUAAGUGCUUGGGUUCUGUUUGAAGUGUGCA
Gasterosteus aculeatus aculeatus (three-spined stickleback) is the source of this 654-nucleotide long non-coding RNA. Lineage: Eukaryota; Metazoa; Chordata; Actinopteri; Perciformes; Gasterosteidae. The record is from Ensembl.